Molecule: ribosomal RNA, 442 nt
Filed under: uncultured bacterium
Lineage: Bacteria
Description: partial 16S ribosomal RNA
Rfam family: Bacterial small subunit ribosomal RNA
Source: RNAcentral
CCUACGGGAGGCAGCAGUAGGGAAUCUUUCACAAUGGGCGAAAGCCUGAUGGAGCAACGCCGCGUGCAGGAUGAAGGCCUUCGGGUUGUAAACUGCUUUUAUAAGCGAGAAAUAUGAUGGUAACUUAUGAAUAAGGAUCGGCUAACUACGUGCCAGCAGCCGCGGUCAUACGUAGGAUCCGAGCAUUAUCCGGAGUGACUGGGUGUAAAGAGUUGCGUAGGUGGCAUAAUAAGUAGCUAGUGAAAUCUGGUGGCUCAACCAUUCAGACUAUUAGCGAAACUGUUAAGCUCGAGACCGUUAGGGGUAACUGGAAUGUCUAGUGUAGGAGUGAAAUCCGUAGAUAUUAGAAGGAACACCAAUAGCGUAGGCAGGUUGCUGGGACGGUUCUGACACUAAGGCACGAAAGCGUAGGGAGCAAACGGGAUUAGAUACCCCAGUAGUC